RNAcentral lists this long non-coding RNA (849 nucleotides) under Lathyrus oleraceus (garden pea). RNAcentral describes it as "Pisum sativum (pea) long non-coding RNA (PSAT_LNC032629)". Lineage: Eukaryota; Viridiplantae; Streptophyta; Magnoliopsida; Fabales; Fabaceae. The record is from RNAcentral.
GAUUAGCGGCGGGAAUUCAAUGGAAAUGGUGACCGAUCACAACCCCAAACUUGUCUCAUUGCUUGUCCUCAAGUGAUGUAUUGAGUCCAAACAAAGGUCACCCCCGAAUUCGCUUUCCACAAUGCAACCUAGUCUUUCACCCUUUGUGUUCUUCCUUUCCAAUCGAGUUUCAGGUCUCUCCGAUUCAGGCAGUUUACCACAUUUCCACAUCAGAAACCUCUUCACCUGCAAGCUUUUCACACACUCACAAUAUCUCUCAGGGUUAGGUGUGUACACUCACAGCACAGUAUGCAAUACCAAACUCUUAACUUUGAAUACAUUCUAAUGUCACUACCACAGCAGAUUCCACACACUUUUUGAGGUCUUUUUAGGUUGUAACGGGGCUUGGGUACGGUGGGAUAAACAAAAAAACUUGGAUAACAAAGGGUUUUGAACUCGGUAGUCGUGUUGUGUGAUUUUUCUUUCUCUUUUUUUUCUGUGCAUCACAUAUACUCUGGGGGUUAAUUUCACUCUUUUGAUUCUUUUUCUACUCAAAUUUUCCGAGCAUUUUAUAUCUGUUAGAAUCUAAGGUCUCGGCAAGUGCAUUUUUCUUUUCUUUUUUUCUUUUUCUUUUUUUCUUUUUUUCUUUUUUUUUUUCUUUUAAAGAAAAUACAUACUAUUUUCUUUUUUGUAUGAUCUCAUCUAAUGCACUUGCCUUCUCUUUCAACAUUUCCACCCCAAACUUAGUUUUAUUGGACAUCUUGCAAUUCACACAAUCAUACCGAGUUAUGACACAAAAGGAAAUGGAUGAUUAAAAGUUAACAGGGGGUUCCUGAUGAAUAAUGCUUAAACGUUAACAUGGGGUUUACA